This is a long non-coding RNA of Bubalus bubalis (water buffalo), 282 nucleotides long. RefSeq lists it as uncharacterized. NCBI's taxonomy places the organism in Eukaryota, Metazoa, Chordata, Mammalia, Artiodactyla, Bovidae. The record is from RefSeq and is a predicted model, not a curated record. The transcript has 2 exons.
UCUUGCCUGGAAAAUUCCAUGGACACAGAAGCCUGGCGGGCUAAAAUUCAUGGAGUGGCAAAGAGUCGGACAUGACUGAGUGACUUUCAUUCAUUCAUUCAUCUUAUUCAUUGUGACAAUCCCUUCCUUUUAAUAAGACUCCGGUAUUUACAUUUGAUGUAAAGGUUUAUAUGGUUGAAUCCUGGGAGAUUCAGUAUGGUUAUCCAUGAUUAGUGCCUUUGUGGGAGAACUGGAAAGUUGAGCUCUUCUGGGACCUCUCAGGGCCUCUCCACAUUGUAUUUC